GCGGGAUAGCUCAGUUGGUUAGAGCGUCGGAUUCAUAACCCGGAGGUCUCGAGUUCAAUUCUCGAUCCCGCUA
RNAcentral lists this transfer RNA (73 nucleotides) under Muribaculaceae bacterium. RNAcentral's name for it is "tRNA-Met". It matches the Rfam family "tRNA". From Rfam's summary of the family: Transfer RNA (tRNA) molecules are approximately 80 nucleotides in length. Their secondary structure includes four short double-helical elements and three loops (D, anti-codon, and T loops). Lineage: Bacteria; Pseudomonadati; Bacteroidota; Bacteroidia; Bacteroidales; Muribaculaceae. The record is from RNAcentral. RNAcentral also lists the same sequence under 1 other name.